Long non-coding RNA from Halichondria panicea, 892 nucleotides. RefSeq lists it as uncharacterized. NCBI's taxonomy places the organism in Eukaryota, Metazoa, Porifera, Demospongiae, Suberitida, Halichondriidae. The transcript has 4 exons. The record is from RefSeq and is a predicted model, not a curated record.
CGAGGGUAACAAAUCCGUAGAUAUCCAUGUUACAGGUAGCGAACACCUAUUGGAUUAGAAGCUGUUAUCCAAACCCAUUUACAACUGAACACUGUAUGUAUUGUGUGCUUUGUGCACCGUAUUGCGUGCUUGCACUUGACAAACCACAUUUACAACUUUAACACCUGCACAUUUUUGUGCUUUCCACAAUUUUUUUUACAGUAGUUCUAGGAGAUGGUCCUUAUUGGCACAUGGGCCCUAGAGUAUCCUGAGAGUUUCAAUUGAUAUUCCUUAUAGUGUCAGAGCACAUCACGAGAAUGACAGUUUCCACUCACCUUUCCCAACCACACUUAAGAUUGUGUCGGUCAAAAAGCAAGCAUGUAUGUGCUCAAGUUUAUAGAAAUUCUGUGGAGCAGUUUUCCUCGAUGAUUGGAGCAAAGUGAAAUCCAGUAUCCAACACUCUGAGCGUCCAGAGUGUGAGUGAGGAGGACUUUGGUCACUACCAGUGUGAGAUGAAGAAUGCCGCUGCUAGGAAAGUGGUCCUCAUUGUCUACAGAGCUCUCUAUAGAGAUGAGAUAAAUAAUGCAGCGACUGAACUGGCUCAUGAAGUCCUCCACACAACCACUGAGUCAGUUCGUCAGAAUACAGCAACUGCAGCUCAGUUGAGUCAAGAGUGCUCGGAAGAAGCUCUUCUCCAGUUGUCUACCCCGAGAUUGCUGGAUACAACGAAUACAAGUACAGGCUAGGCCUAAGUCAUGCUAUAGGUUAGACGAAAUCGAUAACGAUCCGAGAAACUUCAACAGUACCCAAGCCAAAUUUCACACAGCUCUACUGAAAUUGAAGAAUUGAUUUGAACAAUCCAUCGAAUUUGACAGCCACUUAUGGUCGACUAGUGGAAAUGAUGGUAGCAUUC